This 1026-nucleotide ribosomal RNA is filed under the name Escherichia coli. Its description in RNAcentral is "bacterial LSU rRNA". It matches the Rfam family "Bacterial large subunit ribosomal RNA", at positions 1917 to 2925 of the family's 2925-position model. Lineage: Bacteria; Pseudomonadati; Pseudomonadota; Gammaproteobacteria; Enterobacterales; Enterobacteriaceae. RNAcentral also lists the same sequence under 3 other names. The record is from RNAcentral.
GCCCCGGUAAACGGCGGCCGUAACUAUAACGGUCCUAAGGUAGCGAAAUUCCUUGUCGGGUAAGUUCCGACCUGCACGAAUGGCGUAAUGAUGGCCAGGCUGUCUCCACCCGAGACUCAGUGAAAUUGAACUCGCUGUGAAGAUGCAGUGUACCCGCGGCAAGACGGAAAGACCCCGUGAACCUUUACUAUAGCUUGACACUGAACAUUGAGCCUUGAUGUGUAGGAUAGGUGGGAGGCUUUGAAGUGUGGACGCCAGUCUGCAUGGAGCCGACCUUGAAAUACCACCCUUUAAUGUUUGAUGUUCUAACGUUGGCCCGUAAUCCGGGUUGCGGACAGUGUCUGGUGGGUAGUUUGACUGGGGCGGUCUCCUCCUAAAGAGUAACGGAGGAGCACGAAGGUUGGCUAAUCCUGGUCGGACAUCAGGAGGUUAGUGCAAUGGCAUAAGCCAGCUUGACUGCGAGCGUGACGGCGCGAGCAGGUGCGAAAGCAGGUCAUAGUGAUCCGGUGGUUCUGAAUGGAAGGGCCAUCGCUCAACGGAUAAAAGGUACUCCGGGGAUAACAGGCUGAUACCGCCCAAGAGUUCAUAUCGACGGCGGUGUUUGGCACCUCGAUGUCGGCUCAUCACAUCCUGGGGCUGAAGUAGGUCCCAAGGGUAUGGCUGUUCGCCAUUUAAAGUGGUACGCGAGCUGGGUUUAGAACGUCGUGAGACAGUUCGGUCCCUAUCUGCCGUGGGCGCUGGAGAACUGAGGGGGGCUGCUCCUAGUACGAGAGGACCGGAGUGGACGCAUCACUGGUGUUCGGGUUGUCAUGCCAAUGGCACUGCCCGGUAGCUAAAUGCGGAAGAGAUAAGUGCUGAAAGCAUCUAAGCACGAAACUUGCCCCGAGAUGAGUUCUCCCUGAGACUUAGAGUCUCCUGAAGGAACGUUGAAGACGACGACGUUGAUAGGCCGGGUGUGUAAGCGCAGCGAUGCGUUGAGCUAACCGGUACUAAUGAACCGUGAGGCUUAACCUUACAACGCCGAAG